CUUUGUGGUUCAUGACUGGGGUGAAGUCGUAACAAGGUAGCCCUAGGGGAACCUGGGGCUGGAUCACCUCCUUACGAAA
This 79-nucleotide ribosomal RNA is filed under the name Vibrio sp. S11_S32. RNAcentral describes it as "partial 16S ribosomal RNA". It matches the Rfam family "Bacterial small subunit ribosomal RNA", at positions 1460 to 1533 of the family's 1533-position model. The record is from RNAcentral. Lineage: Bacteria; Pseudomonadati; Pseudomonadota; Gammaproteobacteria; Vibrionales; Vibrionaceae.